UUGGAUCGUUCUAUAUGGUCAGUCAUCCAAAUAGCUUCUAGCUUGUAUCCUCCUUGUAGUGUUGCUAAUAUAUUUGGCAACUGGUUGCAUGGUAUUGAUCACAAGUUUAGAAUUCUUCUUAGGGUGGGAGCGCUUCCUGUGAUUUGGUCGCUUUGGUUAUGUAGAAAUGAUAAGGUUUUUAACGAUAAAAGUACUUCUCUUAUGCAAGUUACCUACAGAUGUACCGAGAUGCUUCGUUUAUGGUCCUCUCUAUAG
This 255-nucleotide ribosomal RNA is filed under the name Triticum aestivum (bread wheat). Its description in RNAcentral is "partial small subunit ribosomal RNA". The record is from RNAcentral. Lineage: Eukaryota; Viridiplantae; Streptophyta; Magnoliopsida; Poales; Poaceae.